GUCAAUUGGGACCAUUUGUGAUGUAUUUGAAUUUGUAGAAACAAAUUGUGAUUCAGAUUGGUUAGGGUUCCUAUUCUGACAGCUUGACCUAGGUAUCUUUUAGGGACAAAAACUAAAAAUUUACCAAUCCAAUUGGUGUGAGGCACAUAAUGACAUAUUUUUCAUUUAGAAACCAUGCCCAGAAAAUGACAUUAACAUAGUAAACAAUUAGGUCAAAUCCGGAUAUUGUGCACUGUCACUGUAUCAAAAUGACCAAAUGGCCAUAACUUGGGCUAGACAGGUCCA
Molecule: unclassified non-coding RNA, 285 nt
Filed under: Hevea brasiliensis (rubber tree)
Lineage: Eukaryota; Viridiplantae; Streptophyta; Magnoliopsida; Malpighiales; Euphorbiaceae
Source: RNAcentral